RNAcentral lists this ribosomal RNA (519 nucleotides) under uncultured bacterium. RNAcentral's name for it is "bacterial SSU rRNA". It matches the Rfam family "Bacterial small subunit ribosomal RNA", at positions 32 to 518 of the family's 1533-position model. The record is from RNAcentral.
AGGACGACGCUGGCGGCGUGCCUAAUACAUGCAAGUCGAACGGUCUUUCUAUGGAAGCUUGCUUCCACUGAAAAGAUAGUGGCGAACGGGUGAGUAACACGUGGGUAACCUGCCCAUAAGAGGGGGGAUAACAUCCGGAAACGGGUGCUAAUACCGCAUAGUUUUCUUGAUCGCAUGAUCGGGAAAGGAAAGACGGCCUUUGUGCUGUCGCUUAUGGAUGGACCCGCGGCGUAUUAGUUAGUUGGUGAGGUAACGGCUCACCAAGACGAUGAUACGUAGCCGACCUGAGAGGGUGAUCGGCCACAUUGGGACUGAGACACGGCCCAAACUCCUACGGGAGGCAGCAGUAGGGAAUCUUCCGCAAUGGACGAAAGUCUGACGGAGCAACGCCGCGUGAGUGAAAGAAGGUUUUCGGAUCGUAAAACUCUGUUGUCAGAGAAGAACAAGUUGGAGAGUAACUGCUCCAGCCUUGACGGUAUCUGACCAGAAAGCCACGGCUAACUACGUGCCAGCCGCCGC